Molecule: ribosomal RNA, 478 nt
Filed under: uncultured bacterium
Lineage: Bacteria
Description: partial 16S ribosomal RNA
Rfam family: Bacterial small subunit ribosomal RNA
Source: RNAcentral
GACGAACGCUGGCGGCGUGCUUAACACAUGCAAGUCGAACGGUAAGGCCCUUCGGGGUACACGAGUGGCGAACGGGUGAGUAACACGUGGGUGAUCUGCCCUGCACUUCGGGAUAAGCCUGGGAAACUGGGUCUAAUACCGGAUAGGACCCUGGGAUGCAUGUCCUGGGGUGGAAAGCUUUUGCGGUGUGGGAUGGGCCCGCGGCCUAUCAGCUUGUUGGUGGGGUGAUGGCCUACCAAGGCGACGACGGGUAGCCGGCCUGAGAGGGUGGCCGGCCACACUGGGACUGAGAUACGGCCCAGACUCCUACGGGAGGCAGCAGUGGGGAAUAUUGCACAAUGGGCGCAAGCCUGAUGCAGCGACGCCGCGUGAGGGAUGACGGCCUUCGGGUUGUAAACCUCUUUCAGCACCGACGAAGCGCAAGUGACGGUAGGUGCAGAAGAAGGACCGGCCAACUACGUGCCAGCCGCCGCCGUAA